UUAAUACAAGACCAGUUUAUUUCUUGCUAUUCCAAACCUAUUAAAGAUGUUCCCGCCCUGCAGGUGGCCUGCUACAUGGUCCUUCAGAAACCAAACUCCUUCCAUAUUACAGCCCUGUCCUCCUCUAGAUCCUCAGUCCUUUCCAGCGUGGUCCAGUUGUUGAGGAAAGGGUUGGAGGGUUGCCAUGGGGGGUUUGCCGGUGCCAGGUCUGGAAGUGGUGCAUGUCCGUUCUACUCAUACUUCACUAGCUGGAGCUCAGACAAAUGACCACAGGAAGGCUGGUAAAUAUGGUUGAGCAUUCAUGCUUCCAGAGCUUCCUUUCUGUUGAUCAGGGAUUACGGGAAUGAUGUUUUAGAAAUUUGGUCACCUGGUUUGUAAAGUAAGGUCUUCCUGGGCAGAGUUUUGCUUUUCCCUUUGUCUUCUGAGGUAGAUUUAUAGGCAGCUCUUGUUAUUUACACUCCUGGAAUUCACUCUGCCGUGUGGCUGAUUAUGUCCGGAACCCAUUGAUAAUUCCUCAUGUCAACGUUGGGAAUGCAAGCACAGACAACACCUAAACAGAGGCCAGCCUGCCUUUUCUUGGAGGUGGGCCAAGGAAUGGUUAUGGGAGCGUGAAAGC
This 616-nucleotide long non-coding RNA is filed under the name Homo sapiens (human). RNAcentral's name for it is "long non-coding RNA NONHSAT150171.1". The record is from RNAcentral. Lineage: Eukaryota; Metazoa; Chordata; Mammalia; Primates; Hominidae.